AGUGGGAUAGCUGGGUCAAAUGGUGGUUCCAUUCUCAAUUUUCUAAGGAAUCUCCAUAUUGCUUUCCAUAGUGGUUGCACCAAUUUGCAGGCCCACCAGUAAU
Molecule: microRNA precursor, 103 nt
Filed under: Marmota monax (woodchuck)
Lineage: Eukaryota; Metazoa; Chordata; Mammalia; Rodentia; Sciuridae
Source: RNAcentral